RNAcentral lists this transfer RNA (76 nucleotides) under Lentisphaerota bacterium. RNAcentral describes it as "Lentisphaerae bacterium (anaerobic digester metagenome) tRNA-Met". It matches the Rfam family "tRNA". Rfam says of the family: Transfer RNA (tRNA) molecules are approximately 80 nucleotides in length. Their secondary structure includes four short double-helical elements and three loops (D, anti-codon, and T loops). RNAcentral also lists the same sequence under 2 other names. The record is from RNAcentral. Lineage: Bacteria; Pseudomonadati; Lentisphaerota.
GGCUGAGUAGCUCAGUCGGCAGAGCAGCGGAAUCAUAAUCCGCGUGUCGUGGGUUCAAGUCCCUCCUCAGCCACCA